UGGGGAAUAUUGCACAAUGGGCGCAAGCCUGAUGCAGCCAUGCCGCGUGUAUGAAGAAGGCCUUCGGGUUGUAAAGUACUUUCAGCGGGGAGGAAGGGAGUAAAGUUAAUACCUUUGCUCAUUGACGUUACCCGCAGAAGAAGCACCGGCUAACUCCGUGCCAGCAUCCGCGGUAAUACGGAGGGUGCAAGCGUUAAUCGGAAUUACUGGGCGUAAAGCGCACGCAGGCGGUUUGUUAAGUCAGAUGUGAAAUCCCCGGGCUCAACCUGGGAACUGCAUCUGAUACUGGCAAGCUUGAGUCUCGUAGAGGGGGGUAGAAUUCCAGGUGUAGCGGUGAAAUGCGUAGAGAUCUGGAGGAAUACCGGUGGCGAAGGCGGCCCCCUGGACGAAGACUGACGCUCAGGUGCGAAAGCGUGGGGAGCAAACAGG
RNAcentral lists this ribosomal RNA (429 nucleotides) under Chloroflexota bacterium. RNAcentral describes it as "Chloroflexi bacterium partial 16S ribosomal RNA". It matches the Rfam family "Bacterial small subunit ribosomal RNA", at positions 355 to 776 of the family's 1533-position model. The record is from RNAcentral. Lineage: Bacteria; Bacillati; Chloroflexota.